Molecule: long non-coding RNA, 680 nt
Filed under: Homo sapiens (human)
Lineage: Eukaryota; Metazoa; Chordata; Mammalia; Primates; Hominidae
Description: novel transcript
Source: RNAcentral
CCACCUGUUCCAAGUUUCCACCGUCUCGCCUCAGGGAAAUUCUGGGGGGACCAAAAGGAGAGGGUCACCCCACACCUCCAACUCCUGCAAAUGAGCCCAUCCAGAAAGCUGUCUCUGGAGCACAUGCCUGUUUCCAUCUUCUCUUGCACAGUUUCAGGCCAUGUUUAAGGAUGGGAGAAGAUUGCCUGGCCUCCAGCCUGGAUGCCAGCCAGAACAGUGGUUCCCUGCUUUGGUGCCAGAAUCACAAGUGAUGUUCUAAGGAGAACUAUGAAUGCUUUACCAGUUGUGAGUUCCUCAAAUACACCCUGUUGGUGAAGCAGGGGGACUGUCCAGCUCCUGAGAAAGCCAGUGGAUUUGCGGCCGCCUGCGUUGAAAGCUGCGAAGUUGACAUUGAGAUGGUGUCUUGCUGUGUCUCUCAGGCUAGAGUGCAGUGUGCAGUGGCACAGCCUCAGCCCACUGCAGCCUCCCCAUCCCAGGUUCCAGAGAUUCUCCUGCCUCAGCCUGCCAAGUAGCUGGGACUACAGGCAUGCCCCACCAUACCCGGGUGUCCCCCUGAAGCCCAGAGAAGGGUUACAAUUUACAGAAUUGCCGUCUGGACAGCUGGAGAUCCAACCAACAUGUGAGAAUAAAAGGUGACAUGUUCCCUGUGCUCUGUGAGUUCAACUGACUGACAUAAGACC